UACGGAGGAUCCGAGCGUUAUCCGGAUUUAUUGGGUUUAAAGGGUGCGCAGGCGGAAGAUUAAGUCGGUGGUGAAAUUUUGCAGCUCAACUGUAAAAGUGCCAUUGAUACUGGUUUUCUUGAGUGUGGAUGAAGUAGGCGGAAUUUGUGGUGUAGCGGUGAAAUGCAUAGAUAUCACGAGGAACUCCGAUUGCGCAGGCAGCUUACUAAACCAUAACUGACGCUCAGGCACGAAGGCGUGGGGAUCAAACAGGAUUAGAUACCCA
This 265-nucleotide ribosomal RNA is filed under the name uncultured prokaryote. Its description in RNAcentral is "partial 16S ribosomal RNA". It matches the Rfam family "Bacterial small subunit ribosomal RNA", at positions 524 to 788 of the family's 1533-position model. The record is from RNAcentral.